ACGAACGCUGGCGGCAUGCCUAACACAUGCAAGUCGAACGAGACCUUCGGGUCUAGUGGCGCACGGGUGCGUAACGCGUGGGAACCUGCCCUUAGGUUCGGAAUAACUCCCCGAAAGGGGUGCUAAUACCGGAUAAUGUCUUCGGACCAAAGAUUCAUCGCCUUUGGAUGGGCCCGCGUUGGAUUAGCUAGUUGGUAGGGUAAAAGCCUACCAAGGCGACGAUCCAUAGCUGGUCUGAGAGGAUGAUCAGCCACACUGGGACUGAGACACGGCCCAGACUCCUACGGGAGGCAGCAGUGGGGAAUAUUGGACAAUGGGCGAAAGCCUGAUCCAGCAAUGCCGCGUGAGUGAUGAAGGCCUUAGGGUUGUAAAGCUCUUUUACCCGGGAUGAUAAUGACAGUACCGGGAGAAUAAGCUCCGGCUAACUCCGUG
RNAcentral lists this ribosomal RNA (432 nucleotides) under uncultured bacterium. RNAcentral describes it as "partial 16S ribosomal RNA". It matches the Rfam family "Bacterial small subunit ribosomal RNA", at positions 29 to 507 of the family's 1533-position model. The record is from RNAcentral.